GGAGCAGCCUGGGCUGGUGGGAGGUGUCCCUGCCCAUGCAGGGGGGUUGGAACCUGAUGAUCUUUAAGGUCCCUUCCAACCCAAACCAUUCUAUGAUUCUUUCUUUGUGCUUUAUUCCUGUGGUAUUUUUCCAUCUAAAAAUCACAAAUUGCAAGAUGCAGAGCCUGAAUGAUCUGCAAAAAGUGAGCUGGUGGUGGUGGGUGCUGUGUUCUGAGGCAAGGACAAGAGCUGUGGCAGCACCACCCACCUCAGCUGACUUCAUCUCUGCCUCCUGCAGUCAUGCUAAUGCUCCUUCCCAAUUGCCAUAAUUACUCCAGAGUUUAAAGGUAGCAGGGAGAAGCCUGAAUUUCCCUACAAUUCAGGUAUGUAGUAUCUAGGAACUUGGGCAGUUCAGCUGUACACAAGCUUUAUCAGAUUCUUGGAGUACAGAAGGUGAAGGUCAGAGCUGUUUCCUCAUUAGCUGUUUGUAUUAGAUACUGUGCAAAGAAGAUAUUAGAAGCCACCUACCAGGAUAAUUGUUUUAUAUUAUCUUACCCAUCCUGCUCCUCUGAUUCACUAACAUUACUGAGGUCAGGAAUGGGUAGUUUUACACAGGUGACAACAAAAGCUAUGUGGUAAUGUCUCCUAUUUCCAUCCUGCUACACAACCUCCUCCCUUCUGGUGAGCAGCCAUGCCCUGGGGCAGGAUGUCUCUUCCCAGCUCCCCCUGGAGCCUGUGCACAUUUUAUCACAGCUGGUAAAAUCCAGGAACAUGAAGGGUUCCUGAAGAGCAGGACAAGUCAGGAUCAUUUCUGAGCAGGACUGAAAAGGGCAAGGGACUCCCUGUGUAAGGCUGAUAUGCUGCAAACCCCAGGCUGCAGGGUGGCCCGUGGUGGCUUUUGUGGAGUUGUUGUUGGAAUCUGGUUGCUGGUGCAGCUGCAGCCUCAAGGGACACACACCCAAGCACCCAGGGGCCAGCAGCACCACAGAGCUGUGUUCAGCUCUUUUCUUUAAGGCAGCUGCUACCUCUUCAUAAACAGCUGAUAAAUUCAGUUUGGGGCUACUACCACCUCUGAAGAAGGUCCCAUAAAUUUAAGCAACUAGUUAAUAACUAGUGAGAGGACAAGAGGCCUGGCAGCAUUGCUCCAAAGCAAGAGUAACCCCUUUGCUGCAGGCAGGUAUGUUCAGAUGAGGCUACAGCUGCCAGGAAUGGGAGCCACACAGCACUUUAAAUGUGUACAUACUUAUGGUAAUAAAUGUUUAGGGCUUUGUGUUUU
This is a long non-coding RNA of Apus apus (common swift), 1255 nucleotides long. RefSeq lists it as uncharacterized. Lineage: Eukaryota; Metazoa; Chordata; Aves; Apodiformes; Apodidae. The record is from RefSeq and is a predicted model, not a curated record. The transcript is spliced from 2 exons.